CCGAAAACCUCACCCCUGCCAGAAUUCUCCCCCCUUCCCCUUCUAAUUACCUUUAUUUUGUGGCUAGAGUCAAAUACUUUCUGUGGCACACAUCAGUGUCAAAUAGGGGAGGGGGGAGGGAGGGGAACCCAGGGCGUCAUACAAGCUAGAACCGCCACAUACACUUGAAUCAAAGAGCCAAACCGAAAACUGCAGGCAAAAAUGCUUUCUGCUAAGAGCAGUAUAAUGUAGGCUAAACUGACAACGGAGUGAAGAGCAGAAAUCUCGACUUGCAAGCAAGUCGCAGCAAUGAAGAACGCGGGGGUGGGGUACCCCCUGUAUAAAGAGGACCUGAGCCCUAGGACCAUGCCUCAGGACUACCUGGCCUAAUGACUCCUUGCUGUCCCCAGUCCAACUGGUCGUGCUGCUGCUCCAGUUUAAACUAUUCUGCCUGCGGCUAUGGAACUCUGACCUGUUCACCGGACGUGCUACCUUGACCCAGACCUGCUGUUUUCAACUCUCUCUCUCUCUACAGCACCUGCUAUUUCAACCUCUGAAUGCCCGGCUAUGAAAAGCCAAGUGACAUUUACUCCUGAUGUACUGACCUGUUGCACCCUCCACAACCACUGUGAUUAUUAUUUGACCUUGCUGGUCAUCUAUGAGGUCAGUACAGGUGCAUCGAAGCUAUUUUUCAGUCCUUAAAGUCAUCCAUCAUCUCUGUUCCGGCAGUAGCAGUCAGCCAGCCAGGCCAUAUAAUGGUAUCUAUGUGCUCCCCAUACUGUACUGUCUUCCUAUGUAGCUAUAUGCCUAAGUAUGCUGCAGAGCUGUUUGAUUGAAUCAUUUUACUAGUUCUUCAAAGUAGAUAAGGCAUACUUUCACAAACUCGAUCCCUCUCGUUGCGGUCUGUAUGCAUCUAACCCAAUGACUGUAUGAUCUAGCCUAGCAGGCGUAAAAGUGUAUCCGUCCAGAGAUUUGUAUAUAAUGUCACGGCCGUCAGACUGUUAAACAGCCGUGACUAACACAGAGAGGCUGCUGCCUACAUACAGACUUGAAAUCAUUGGUCACUUUAAUAAAUAGAUCACGUGCCACUUUAAUAAUGCCACUUUAAUAAUGUUUACAUAUCUUGCAUUACUCAUCCCAUAUGUAUAUACUGUAUUUUAUACCAUGUAUUGCAUCUUGCCUAUGCCACUCGGUCAUCGCUCACCUCACUCCAAGAUGGCGUAGCAGUUCAGACGUCUUGUCGUUUCCCGUGUACAUAUCUUUUUUUUCUUCAUAUAUUUCGUAUAUAUUUUUAACCUCAAUUUCAACAUACUCUCCAGGAACCCGCUUUAGAACCAGAACCCCCAACAGAAGCUAGCCAGCUAACUAGCUAGUAGUCAGUUAGCCACUGCUAGCAGUCAUCAGCUAACCUUAGCCUGGUCAACUCCUGCCAGUCUGCACAGCGCGAUUCAACCCAGAGCAUACCUGACUGCUUUUUCUCCACAUCUCCGGAUUCCUACCGAAAGCGCUGAACAUUUUCACCUGGAUCAUCGCAGCUAGCAAGCUGCUAUCCGAGUGGCUACCACUGGCUAACGUCUCUGUCACGAAGCAAGCAACAGUUAGCCUGGAACUAGCCUCGUACUAGGCCCAUCUCCCGGCUAACUGAAGAGGUCCAUCAGCCAUUCCUUGGGCUACAAUACCUAUUUUGCCAAUUGGCCUGGACCCCUUUUACUGCCGACACGUAGCCCCGCUGAUCCAUCACCGACGUAAUCCGUCCGAGGGGGUUUCAAUAGGCUCCUCCGUCGCAACGUCCCCUGAAGGCCCAUCUGCUAGCUGUCUAGAGCAUAUCGGACUGUUAGCUGAAGAGGUCCAUCAGCCAAUUUCUUGGGCUACAAUACCUAUUUUGCCAAUUGGCCUGGACACUGUUACUGCGUACACAGAGCCCUGCUGAUCCAUCACGACUGGUCUGCCGACGUAACCGUCCGAGGGGGCUACAACCCUCUUCCGUCGUGACGUCCCCCAAAGGCCCUUCUGCUAACCUGCUAGCCCCGGCCCGCUAGCUGUCUGAAUCGCCGUGUCUCCAGCUCGCCAAGCUACCCACUGGUCCCUAUGAUCACUCGGCUACGCAUGCAUCUCCUAAUGUCAAUAUGCCUUGUCCAUUGCUGUUUUGGUAAGUGAUUGUCUUAUUUCACUGUAGAGCCUGCAGCCCUGCUCAAUAUGCCUUAGCUAGCCCUUUUGCUCCACCUCCCACAUGUGGUGACCUCACCUGGUUUAAAUGUCUCUAGAGACAAAACCUCUCUCAUCAUCACUCAAUGCCUAGGUUUACCUCCACUGUAUUCACAUCGUACCAUACCCUUGUCUGUACAUUAUGCCUUGAAUCUAUACUCCUUUUACUCUCUGUUCCGAACGCACUAGAUGACCAGUUCUUAUAGCCUUUAGCCGUAUCCUUAUCCCACUCCUCCUCUGGUGAUGUAGAGGUUAAUUAAAAGCCUUGGUUUCAUGCAUGUUAAAAUCAGAAGCCUCCUCCCUAACUUUUUUUCUUCUCACUGCUUUAGCACUGCCAACCCGGAUGUCCUAGCCGUGUCUGUAUCCUGGCUUAGGAAGCCCACCAAAAAUUCUGAAAUGUACAUCCCUAACUAUAACAUUUUCUGACAAGAUAUAACUGCCAAAGGGGGCGGAGUUAGCUUGCAGAGUUCUGUCAUGCUAUCCAGGUCUGUGCCCAAACAAUUCAAGCUUCUACUUCUAAAAAUCCACCUUUCCAGAAACAAGUCUCUUACCGUUGCCGCUUGUUAUAGACCACCUUCUGCCCCCAGCUGUGCCCUGGACACCAUAUGUGAAUUGAUUGCCCCCCCAUCGGUCUUCAGAGCUCGUAGUGUUAGAUGACCUAAACUGGGACAUGCUUAACACCCCGGCCGUCCUACAAAUCUAAGCUAGAUGCCCUCAAUCUCACACAAAUUAUCAAUGAAUUUACCAGGUACAACUCCAAAUCCGUAAACACGGGCACCCUCAUAGAUAUCAUCCUGACCAACCUGCCCUCUAAAUACACCUCUGCUGUCUUCAACCAGGAUCUCAGCGAUCAUUGCCUGCGUCCGUAAUGGGUCUGCGGUCAAACGACCACCCCUCAUCACUGUCAAACGCUCCCUAAAGCACUUCAGCGAGCAGGCCUUUCUAAUCAACCUGGCCCGGGUAUCCUGGAAGGAUAUUGACCUCAUUCCGUCAGUAGAGGAUGCCUGGUUAAUCUUAAAGUGCUUUCCUCACCAUCUUAAAUAAGCAUGCCCCAUUACAUUUUUUUUUAACCAGGAACAGAUCUAGUCCUUGGUUCACUCCAGACCUGACUGCCCUUGACCAGCACAAAAACAUCCUGUGGAGUACUGCUUUAGCAUCGAAUAGCCCCCGCGAUAUGCAACUUUUCAGGUUAGUUAGGAACCAAUACACACAGGCAGUUUGAAAAAUCUAGCCUUUACUUUCCUAACAGAAAUUUGCAUCCUGUAGCACAAACUCAAAUGUUCUGGACUCUAAAGUCCAUGGACCAGCUGCCCACUGCACUGAGGCUAGGAAACAUUGUCACCACCGAUAAAUCCACGAUAAUUGAGAAUUUCAAUAAGCAUUUUUCUACUGCUGGCCAUUGCUUUCCACCUGGCUACCUCUACCUUGGUCAACAGCCCUGCACCCUCCACAGCAAAUUGCCCAAGCCUCCCCCAUUUCUUCUUCACCCAAAUCCAGAUAGCUGAUGUUUUGAAAGAGUUGCAAAAUCUGGAUCCUUAGAAAUCAGCUGGGCUAGACAAUCUGGACCCUCCCUUUCUAAAAUGAUCUGCCGCAAUUGUUGCAACCCCUAUUACUAGCCUGUUCAACCUCUCUUUCGUAUCGUCUGAGAUCCCCAAAGAUUGGAAAGCUGCCGCGGUCAUCCCCCUCAUCAAAGGGGGAGACACUCUAGACCCAAACUGUUACAGACCUUUAUCUAUCCUACCCUGCCUUUCUAAGGUCUUCAAAAGCAAAGUUAACAAACAGAUCUCCGAACAUUUUGAAUCCGACCGUACCUUCUCCGCUAUGCAAUCUGGUUUCCGAGCUGGUCAAGGGUGCACCUCAUCCACGCUCUAGGUCCGAAACGAUAUCAUUACCGGCAUUGAUAAAAGACAAUACUGUGCAGCCGUAUUCAUCGACCUGGCCACGGUUUUCGACUCUGUCAAUCACCACAUUCUUAUCGGCAGACUCAACAGCCUUGGUUUCUCAAAUGACUGCCUCACCUGGUUCACCAACUACUUCUCAGACAGAGUUCAGUGUGUCAAAUUGGAGGGCCUGUUGACUGGACCUCUGGCAGUCGCUAUGGGGGUGCCACAGGGUUCAAUUCUCGGGCUGACUCUUUUCUCUGUAUACAUCAAUGAUGUCGCUCUUGCUGCUGGUGAUUCUCUGAUCCACCUCUACGCAGACGACACCAUUCUGUAUACAUCUGGCCCUUCUUUGGACACUGUGUUAACUAACCUCCAGACGAGCUUCAAUGCCAUACAACUCUCCUGCCGUGACCUCCAACUGCUCUUAAAUGCAAGUAAAACUAAAUGCAUGCUCUUCAACCGAUUGCUGCCUGCACCUGUCCAGCCUCACUACUCUGGACGGUUCUAUGUUAGAAUUUGUGAACAAAUACAACUACAAAUACCUAGGUGUCUGGUUAGACUGUAAACUCUCCUUCCAGACUCACAUUACGCAUCUCAAAUCCAAAAUUAAAUCUAGAAGAAUCGGCUUCCUAUUUCGCAACAAAGCAUCCUUCACUCAUGCUGCCAAACAUACCCUCGUAAAACUGCCGAUCCUUGACUUCGGCGAUGUCAUUUACAAAAUAGCCUCCAACACUCUACUCAGCAAAUUGGAUGCAGUCUGUCACAGUGCCAUCCGUUUUGUCACCAAAGCCCAAUAUACUACCCACCACUGCGACCUGUAUGCCCUCGUUGGCUGGCCCUCACUUCAUAUUCGUCGCCAAAACCACUGGCUCCAGGUCAUCUAUAAGUCUUUGCUAUGUACAGCCCCGCCUUAUCUCAGCUCACUGGUCAACUUAGCAACACGCGCUCUAGCAGGUAUAUGUCACUGGUCACCCCCAAAGCCAAUUCCUACUUUGUCCGCCUUUCCUUCCAGUUCUCUGCUGCCAAGGACUGGAACAAUUUGCAAAAGAAAAUAACUGAAGCUGGAGACGCCCAUCUCCCUCACUAACUUUAAGCAUCAGCUGUCAGAGCAGCUCACCGAUCACUGCACCUAUACAUAGCCCAUCCAUCUACCUCAUCCCCAUAUUGUUAUUUAUUUUUUUGCUCCUUUGCACCCCAGUGCUUGCACAUUCAUCUUCUGCACAUCUAUCACUCCAGUGUUUUAUUGCUGAAUUGUAAUUACUUCGACACUACGGCCAAUUUAUUGCCUUACCUCACUAAUCUUCUCAUUUGCACACACUGUAUAUAGAUUUUUUCUAUUGUGUUAUUGACUGUACGUUUAUUUAUUCCAUGUAUAACUGUGUUUGUGUCGCACUGCUUUGCUUUAUCUUGGACAGGUCGCAGUUGUAAAUGAGAACUUGUUCUCAACUGGCCUACCUGGUUAAAUAAAGGUGAAAUAUAUAUAUAUAUUUUUUUAAAUAUAUUUAUUCUUAUUCCAUCCCUUUUCUUAAAUGUGUGUAUUAUGUAGUUGUGGAAUUGUUAGAUUACUUGUUAGAUAUUACUCCACUGUUGGAACUAGAAGCACAAGCAUUUCGCUACACUCGCAAUAACAUCUGCUAACCAUGUGUAUGUGACCAAUAACAUUUUAUUUUAUUUGAUGAAUGUUUGAACAUCUUGAAGACCAAUCCGGCCAUGUACUGUUAUAAUCUCCACCCGGCACAGCCAGAAGGGGACUGGCCACCCCUCAGAGCCUGGUUCCUCUCUAGGUUUCUUCCUACAGUAGGUUCCUGCCUUUCUCGGGAGUUUUUCCCAGCCACCAUUCUUCUACAUCUGCAUUGUUUGGGGUUUUAGGCUGGGUUUCUGUAUAUCACUUUGACAUCUGCUGAUGUAAAAAGGGCUUUAUAAAUACGUUUGAUUGUCAUGAAACCUAUAACACAAAUUAAUUUGACUUGGUGAAAACCAAUUUUUUGCGACCUAACUUCCUUAUCACUUUUUCCAUGUGAUUUCUUCCUUCACGGACUCCAUGAAAUGAUGACUUCUUCCUAAAUAUACAUUCCCCACUCUCCCCUACCACAAUAUAUGCAAUCUGAAUCAGUUACAGUAUAUGAAUAGUAGGCUACACACAAUGCAUUUCCAAUGUCAUGAAUAGAAUAGAGAAUCACUGAUUGUCAAGGUUGUGUUUUUGAAGCGCUGAUGUUUGAAGUGGGGUUAGAGUGAGUAGACUGAUAUCCACCUACUGCAGCCUCCUACAGAGUCGCGGCCAGUGGUUGAAUGUCUCAACAAUUCUGUGUCCUGUCCCCUGUUAUUUUAUUCUUUAAUGGGAGGGAUCAAAGAGCAUAUACAUUGACAUGUCUCCACAGUCAAUGAGUAACUUCCCCUCAGCUCCAAACCAAAAGGUGCAUGUUACUGCAGUGCUACCAACGGAACUCUAGACACUUUAUAAACUGGCAUAAAGAAAAUGAGAGAUAGAGACUGUGACCAAGUAGAUGUGUGUUUUUGGUGUAUUCUUUUUAACCUGUUUCCAAUCAUAAUCAUUUAGCUGCCAGGGUGCCGGAUGAUAAUCAGACAAGGGGAAUGAUUGUUUUGCUGAGGCUAUAUCUCUUUCAUAUCAAUUCUUAGUAAAGUGCACUGCAAAUUUGAUUAAAAGUGAUGAGUCUUUUGGAUCACACAUUCAAUUUCAUAUUGAGUAUAUUGCCAUUUGUUCAGCCUAGAUAGAAAAGUAGUGGGAUCUGCACACAGUGGAGCACAUGACUGACAUUCUCACAUUGUGAAUGUAACAAUCUGGGUUAUUAUUUUCUUAGGAGGGGUUUUGUAUGUAUUAUAUCAAGGUGGGGCAAACAGUGUAUGAAGGGCAGUGUGCCAGGUCAUGGCCACUGGCAGGUCUACACAUGGUUUAUUUACAAUCAUUGAUUGCCAGGGGGGGUGAGAAUGUCAGUGAAUGUGUGUGUGUGUGCACGCGCAUGUUUGCAUUCCAUAGAUUCACAGAGCCUCUUAGGCAUGUUUUGGACUUCACAUUGUGUGAGCUCCAACUCCCUGCACUGGAUCCUAGUUAGUCCAUUCUUUUAAUCACUGGGGGAAAUACUUCAGCCCAUUAAUCAAGAGCCAAUAGUUACUCUUACAAAAUAUCUGUCUAAGACUAGAGAGACCGAGUUUUCUUUUUACAUCUUUUCCUUAGCACAUAUUCUUUAUAAUCUAAGGAAGGCAUAGAUGUUUAGAGAAUCAAUUGCAAGAAUCUAAGUGGUGGAUCUGAGCCUGUUUACUUUACCCAUGUUGAAAAUUGAUCUUUUACUCUGAACUUGAAGAGGAAAAUAGGAAAUGACAAGGGUCAGGGCUGAGUUAACAGCGUUUCGCUUCAUUAGCUCUAGGCCUGAGGGUAAUCGCUGACUCCUCAGCGUGCCUGUGACAUACUGGCAGCAAGUCCGAAGGCCACCCUUUUAUGACACACAUGGCCUUUCUGUAUGAGCAACUGUGUCUUGUGUUUCCAGGGUCCCUACCUUCAUGGCAAUGGAGAUUUGCAUAGUCUUCUCAGGGAGAGGAGCCUUCUUGCACUGCACUCUUUAAUCUCCCCUAGUAGUAAUUGGUCUCCCAGCAGAAGAGAACUGAUCAAUUUCUACUCCUUGGUGGAAAACCAAUGGCCCACCACUGGCACCUCUCCAGAAGAGCAUCAGACAGACCAAAAAACGAGACAGAUUUAACAAAGAGUAUGGGGGGGGGGGGAUUUAAGUAGCUUUAAAAUGUAGGCCAACCAUUAAUGUGCAAAGGUGGAAGUUAUUCCUCAAAGGUCUUUCUCCGGUUUAUGGAGUGGGGAGUUCUGUUCCAGGUUUCCCUCCAGCUCGGUCUACUCCAGAGCCACCUCCUCUGGGUAAGGCCUGAAGCACAAAGAAAUGUUGAGCAGUACAAUGCCUCAAUUGUAUUUUAAUAAAUAUUUACAAUUAUGCAGAGUCCAUCAUUUAAAAAACAAAAUCUGUUUUAAAAAUCAGGCGAGUCAAAUACAAUGGAAAAGGGUUGAAGGACCUGUGUCGUACUCAUUCCAUGGAAGGCCGAGUGUCUGCGGGUUUUCGCUCCUUGAUUGACACAAUAAGAUCACUAAUUAGUAGGAACUCCUCACCUGGUUGUCUGUUUGGUUGGUUCAUGGAUCAGAGACCAGAUGCUACUGGAAGUGGUGUUUGAGGGCCAGUAGGAUGCACUCUUUCCUCUGAUCUAAAGGGUUUCUAAAAUCCCCAUUGGGAAAAAUAAAUGGUGAAAAAACGAUUGGAACCAUUUCCAUGUUUGACCGCUAUGUUUUAUGACUACUGUGGUACUCUAUUUUAAGCCUUGCUGAGCAGCAUGGCAGCCGAGCAGCUAGGGGCGUUGACAACGAAGGCCCUCAGUCAAACAGAAAACUGGUUUCCACAGCCACAAUCUCAGACAAGGUGACUUUUUUAUCAAUAUAUUUGCCUGUAUUUACCCCCAACAAAUAAAACGCGUAUAAGGCUAUCAUAAAGAACCACAAAUGCCAUGAUCUGGACGAGAAUGUCACUUAUUUCAUACCAACGAGAAAGAAUCUUUCAAAUAAAGGUACACUUACUGUAGAAAUUUCUCAGGGAUCCACAGGCUUUGUGCGCAUCCAGUUGACAAAUGACACUUCCUCUCCAGUUACUUACACACAGGUGUUUGGAGCAUGCAAAGGUGUGUCGAAAUUCAACCGUUACUGUUUCUCGCUGAUAUGAAAGAUACGUUCCUUAUGUUUAAACCAUACUGCAUGCGAUUAGUUUUGUCGUUAGAGACAGGGCCAUAUAGGCUACUGUGGCGUAAACAAGAAUCACAAUGAGUGUGAGUUUCCAACCUAGAGACAUCUUCAAGUAACUCAAUUUAUACAAUGAUGCUUUUUCAAUUAGACUUAGGAUUUUGGAUCAUGCUACUCUGCAUGUUAAGUAGCGUGAUCAAUUAACAUAGUGAAUUAUCACACAGAAUUUUCUGUCAUUUCCACAACUUGACUUUGAUCAAUUUCUUACAUAAUGUAAGGGGGCCAGUAUAUGAAUGCAGUAUCACAAGGUGCUCAGAGAGAGAGAACAUUUUUUGUGUAUUCAUAGAAAGAAAGCUGAAACUAAAGUUUAAUUAGCAUUUUCAUAUACAGUGUUUAGGCACCCAAUAUUGUAAGAGUCAAUAAAACCGGUGGAGGAAGAGAGAGUUUGCAGCUGUACUGACACUGGAUUAUGCAUAUGCAGCCAUGAGUCAUUCAAUAAAAUGUUUCAUGGUUUUCAAUUUCAUGAUUUGCAAUAUAUUCUUGUUGUGUAACUUGCACCUCAAGUCCAAAAACAGUAAUGUGUUUGCAUUGGGUUUGAGUUCUAUCAGAAAUAACUUUAAUUCACAAGGCUUGUGGGCUCCUGAGUGGCGCAGUGUUCUAAGGCACUCAGUGCUUGAGGCGUCACUACAGACACCCUGGUUCAAUUCAUCUGCAGACUAGCCAAUUGUAAACAACUCUUCUUACUCUAAAGUGCAAAUGCUAAUAGCCUACUGGAGAAUCCAGAUAAGAUCAUUGUCAAUGCCUCUUGUCUUUAUUCGAUCUGAUUUAUGAACCAAUGUGUGUACAAAAUAUCAAAUGGUCAGAAAUACCCACCCAUUCUUAAUCAAGAUGACUUGUUCAACUUCUUUAACAAGAGGACAAAAUGAGGAGAAAUGUUUUUGUAUUAGCUUUUUCUUGACCACUCCUUGGUUAGCCAGCAUCUGCUUCCUCAGUUUAUGCUGCAGACUGAUCAAUUUCCUCUCUAACUCUGCCCACCCAAUGUUUCAGCAUCCUUGAGCAUGUAAGUGCUGGCUCAGACGCCUGCUGCAUCUUCUUGAUGAAAUGUCAUUACUGCCAGAAGGUCAGCUUCACUGUCAAGUCUCAAGGAAGGCUUUGCCAACCCUCAUUAUUUUAUUGUGCAAUUAUAGCCUAUUACACUCAGUUACCAUGCAGAUUGUGGCCACGUAAAGUAGAAAAUGGCUACUUGGAUGUCUGACCCAGCCUUAGCACUCUGGUAUGAUAAAGAUGUUGACAGACAUCUGGAUCCAGGAUCCAAGAGAAAUUAAAUCAAAUUUUAUUUGUCACAUACACAUGGUUAGCAGAUGUUAAUGCGAGUGUAGCGAAAUGCUUGUGCUUCUAGUUCCGACGAUGCGGUAAUAACCAACGAGUAAUCUAACCUAACAAUUCCACAACUACUACCUUAUACACACAAAAGGGAUAAAGGGAUAUCCCUCCCUGUAAAGGGAUAAAGAAUAUGUACAUAAAGAUAUAUGAAUGAGUGAUGGUACAGAAAGGCAAGAUGUGGUAGAUGGUAUAGAGUACAGUAUAUACAUAUGAGAUGAGUAAUGUGGGGUAUAUAAACAUAAAGUGGCAUAGUUUAAAGUGGCUAGUGAUACAUGUAUUACAUAAAGAUGGCAAGAUGCAGUAGAUGAUAUAGAGUACAGUAUAUACAUAUACAUAUGAGAUGAGUAAUGUAGGGUAUGUAAACAUUAUAUUAAGUGGCAUUGUUUAAAGUGGCUAGUGAUAUAUUUUUCCAUCAAUUUCCAUCCAUUCCCAUUAUUAAAGUGGCUGGAGUUGAGUCAGUAUGUUGGCAGCAGCCACUAAAUGUUAGUGGUGGCUGUUUAACAGUCUGAUGGCCUUGAGAUAGGAGCUGUUUUUCAAUCUCUCCCAGCUUUGAUGCACCUGUGCUGACCUCGCCUUCUGGAUGAUAGCGGGGUAAACAGGCAGUGGCUCUGGUGGUUGUUGUCCUUGAUGAUCUUUAUGGCCUUCCUGUUACAUCGGGUGCUGUAGGUGUUCUGGAGGGCAGGUAGUUUGCCCCCGGUAAUGCGUUGUGCAGACCUCACUACCCUCUGGAGAGCCUUACGGUUGUGGGCGGAGCAGUUGCCGUACCAGGCGGUGAUACAGCCCGACAGGAUGCUCUCGAUUGUGCAUCUGUAGAAGUUUGUGAGUGCUUUUGGUGACAAGCCAAAUUUCUUCAGCCUCCUGAGGUUGAAGAGGCGCUGCUGCGCCUUCUUCACAACACUGUCUGUGUGGGUGGACCAAUUCAGUUUGUCCGUGAUGUGUACUCCGAGGAACUUAUGAGUUGGAUGAUCUAUUGUGCAAAUACUCUGAGUAGAGAUCGUUCAAUAACUAUUUUAAACAGGUCGUUAUUACUUAUUUCAACUGAAACUAUACACUCACCUCAAGAUUUAGCUGAGUAAGCAGCUGACUUGUCAUUGUGGCAGAAGAUGUACUAAUACCAGUGCUUGGGAAAUGGACAGGAUGGAGCUGUGUUGACUUAUCAAAAAUGUAUAUUUGACUGAAAGGUCUUGAUGAAAUGUGGGAUGAUUCAGUUCUCAGCAAGUGGCUAUGUGGUAAGCCCUGUUUGACAUUUGAGGACAAAUUAAUUAAAGUUGUUCAUAUUUGCUGCACAUACAAGAUACACAUGAAUUGUUUAUUGUCUAUUAUUAGUGGCUUCACCUACAAAACUCCAUUAUCAUGAUUUUAUUGUUGGGGCUUUUAUUGUAAAUCGAAUAAAACCUUUCAUCCACAGCUUU
Salvelinus fontinalis (brook trout) is the source of this 11606-nucleotide long non-coding RNA. RefSeq lists it as uncharacterized. Lineage: Eukaryota; Metazoa; Chordata; Actinopteri; Salmoniformes; Salmonidae. The record is from RefSeq and is a predicted model, not a curated record. The transcript has 2 exons.